UACGGAGGGUGCGAGCGUUAAUCGGAAUCACUGGGCGUAAAGGGCGCGUAGGCGGUUUAGUAAGCCUGGUGUGAAAGCCCAGGGCUCAACCUGGGAAGGGCAUUGGAAACUGUCAGGCUAGAGUUCCGGAGAGGAAGGGGGAAUUCCCGGUGUAGCGGUGAAAUGCGUAGAUAUCGGGAGGAAUACCAGAGGCGAAGGCGCCCCUCUGGACGGAGACUGACGCUGAGGAGCGAAAGCGUGGUUAGCAAACAGG
RNAcentral lists this ribosomal RNA (253 nucleotides) under uncultured bacterium. RNAcentral describes it as "partial 16S ribosomal RNA". It matches the Rfam family "Bacterial small subunit ribosomal RNA", at positions 524 to 776 of the family's 1533-position model. The record is from RNAcentral.